GACGAACGCUGGCGGCGUGCUUAACACAUGCAAGUCGAACGGAAAGGCCCUGCUUUUGUGGGGUGCUCGAGUGGCGAACGGGUGAGUAACACGUGAGUAACCUGCCCUUGACUUUGGGAUAACUUCAGGAAACUGGGGCUAAUACCGGAUAGGAGCUCCUGCUGCAGGGUGGGGGUUGGAAAGUUUCGGCGGGUGGGGAUGGACGCGCGGCUGAUCAGCUUGUUGGUGGGGUAGUGGCUUACCAAGGCUUUGGCGGGUAGCCGGCCUGGGAGGGUGACCGGCCACCUUGGGACUGCGGUACGGCCCAGACUCCUACGGGGGGCAGCAGUGGGGAAUCUUGCACAAUGGGCGGACGCCUGAUGCGGCAACGCCGCGUGCGUGAUGCCGGCCUUCGGGUUGUAAACCGCUUUCGCCUGUGACGACGCGUGAGUGACGGUAAUGGGUAAAGAAGCACCGGCUAACUACGUG
RNAcentral lists this ribosomal RNA (468 nucleotides) under uncultured bacterium. RNAcentral's name for it is "partial 16S ribosomal RNA". It matches the Rfam family "Bacterial small subunit ribosomal RNA", at positions 28 to 507 of the family's 1533-position model. The record is from RNAcentral.